UGAAUAGAUAGAGGUUGCGUGAUUCAUGAGUAGCUUAUCGGAUGUGACAGGCACAGAGGAUGAUAACUGAAAGGGAAGAACGCCGAAAGAAGUUCUUUUCCUGAAGAGAGAUUCUUGGGCAUAUAGUGAAUAAUUAUAUGACUGUCAUCAGUGGAUGGAGUGCUAUCAUGGAU
This 173-nucleotide non-coding RNA is filed under the name Eubacterium sp. RNAcentral describes it as "Lysine sequence". It matches the Rfam family "Lysine riboswitch aptamer". From Rfam's summary of the family: Riboswitches are metabolite binding domains within certain messenger RNAs that serve as precision sensors for their corresponding targets. Allosteric rearrangement of mRNA structure is mediated by ligand binding, and this results in modulation of gene expression. RNAcentral also lists the same sequence under 1 other name. Lineage: Bacteria; Bacillati; Bacillota; Clostridia; Eubacteriales; Eubacteriaceae. The record is from RNAcentral.